RNAcentral lists this ribosomal RNA (338 nucleotides) under uncultured Anaerolineaceae bacterium. RNAcentral's name for it is "bacterial SSU rRNA". It matches the Rfam family "Bacterial small subunit ribosomal RNA", at positions 1030 to 1382 of the family's 1533-position model. Lineage: Bacteria; Bacillati; Chloroflexota; Anaerolineae; Anaerolineales; Anaerolineaceae. The record is from RNAcentral.
UUGCACAGGUGCUGCAUGGCUGUCGUCAGCUCGUGUCGUGAGAUGUUCGGUUAAGUCCGCUAACGAGCGCAACCCUCGUCGUAUGUUAUAUGUGUCUAUACGAGACUGCCGGUAAAAGCCGGAGGAAGGUGAGGAUGAUGUCAAGUCAGCAUGACCUUUAUAUCCAGGGCUACACACACGCUACAAUGGUCUGUACAAUGGGUAGCCAAGCCGCGAGGCGGAGCCAAUCCUGAAAGCAGGCCUCAGUUCAGAUUGCAGUCUGCAACUCGACUGCAUGAAGCCGGAGUUGCUAGUAACCGCAGGUCAGCAAUACUGCGGUGAAUACGUUCCCGAGUCUU